RNAcentral lists this ribosomal RNA (484 nucleotides) under uncultured bacterium. RNAcentral's name for it is "partial 16S ribosomal RNA". It matches the Rfam family "Bacterial small subunit ribosomal RNA", at positions 30 to 507 of the family's 1533-position model. The record is from RNAcentral.
AUUGAACGCUGGCGGCAUGCUUUACACAUGCAAGUCGAACGGAAGCACGGGCUUCGGCCUGGUGGCGCGUGGCGAACGGGUGUGUAAUAUAUCGGAACGUACCCAGCAGAGGGGGAUAACGUAGCGAAAGUAACGCUAAUACCGCAUACGAUCUAUGGAUGAAAGCAGGGGACCGCUAGGCCUUGUGCUCCUGGAGCGGCCGAGAUCUGAUUAGCUAGUUGGUGAGGUAAAGGCUCACCAAGGCGACGAUCAGUAGCUGGUCUGAGAGGACGACCAGCCACACUGGAACUGAGACACGGUCCAGACUCCUACGGGAGGCAGCAGUGGGGAAUUUUGGACAAUGGGCGCAAGCCUGAUCCAGCAAUGCCGCGUGAGUGAAGAAGGCCUUCGGGUUGUAAAGCUCUUUUGUCAGGGAAGAAACGGUAGAGGCUAAUAUCCUCUGCUAAUGACGGUACCUGAAGAGUAAGCACCGGCUAACUACGUG